AAGGGCGAGUGAGGUGGAGCUGCGGGCGGGACGCUGGCCGUCUCUCCCCCCUUCCAGGCCGGCUCAGCUCGCUGCGGAGAAAGGCACGUGCUUCGCUCGGACUUCGGUGCAGUGCUGCAGGACACCAGCCUUGACACACUUCUCCCUUUCCUUGCUGUCCUUCACAUUGUGAAUAAGUGAACCUUUAGCCCUGCAAGCCUUGUACGCAAUUCAAAGUGCAAGAGCCAAUGCACUUGCCAUCAGAAGGACAGAGCAGGACAACUUGUGUUCUGAGGAUGUGAAGAUGUUUGGAGGUGUGAAGAUGGUCAGGAUGAGUCUGAGGACUGUCCUCUGGAAGCAUGUAGAAGAUCUGCAUUCCGGGCUGUCCCUCUCCUUUGGCAGCAUUGCUCCUGAAGUUGACUCUACAAAUGACUGGAAUUGCACACUUAUUCCCCAUCAUUUGCUCACAUCUCACCGCUGGCUGUGUUCAUGCUUUGAAGGAUCAUGGCAGCGCUGCCUUACUGCUCCAGCCUGGUUCAGAGGAAACACAGAAAAUGAAGAUUUCCCAUUGAAGAGAGAGAUGCUUUUCUAGCUUGGAUUUUUUUUCUGUUUUGUGCUGCACUUCUGAAGAAUUCAGGUGGCUGACACAAACAUAAAUCCUUUGGGAGGUCAUUUCCUGAGAAAGGGAGGACUGUGUGGUGGCACAUGUGAAAAUGAGUUGAGAGCAGAAUUAAGCCCUGAGGAAAAAUAUGUCUGCAUCCUGGCUUAACGAAAGUUUAUCACUGGGCAGCCAAUAGGUUGAAUUAAAUUAAGUUCAGGUGAGAAGGAACUAUGAGCAAGAGCGAAUGAAAAAGGUAAAGGAGUUGUUGCAGCUAAAAGAGAAAAAGAAGUGUUUUUUUCAUUAACAUAGGGAAAACUAACAGGAAGAACGCAUACCUGUGUACAUAUGUAUGUGUUGGGCAUAGAAGAAUUCACUAAGCCAUCUUUCUAGAAUAACUCUACUGCUAUCAAUGGGGUGGCCUUUUAAAAAUAAAUAAUUUUUUUUCUUUCACCUCUCAUCUCACUUUCAUUGCUGAAAACAACCAAGAGAUAACAGGGAAAACAGUCCUCCAGAAGACAACAAGAACAUUUCUGCUUCUCCCUCCACACACCCCCCUUCAAAUAUAAGUAGAUCCAUGUGUGAAGAAAAGAGAAAGUUCCUGGAGAAGAACAAAUAAAGUUUUAUUGCUAUGUAAGUACAAGAAUCCGGACUGUAUUGUUGAAGAAAUAUCUUUAUGAAAUGUCUUCUAGCUGGAUCUUUUAAGCUUAAUCUUUUAAAGCUUCUUCUUUUCAAAGAUGGUUCUUCCCUUUAAUGCUGGAUUUUGUUUUAAUAAUGCUGGAUUUAAUUUUUAUCAUGAAGUAAAAUGAUAUCUCAAAAAGA
This is a long non-coding RNA of Gallus gallus (chicken), 1399 nucleotides long. RefSeq lists it as uncharacterized. The record is from RefSeq and is a predicted model, not a curated record. The transcript is spliced from 6 exons. NCBI's taxonomy places the organism in Eukaryota, Metazoa, Chordata, Aves, Galliformes, Phasianidae.